RNAcentral lists this ribosomal RNA (811 nucleotides) under Cryptosporidium xiaoi. RNAcentral's name for it is "SSU rRNA". It matches the Rfam family "Eukaryotic small subunit ribosomal RNA", at positions 207 to 1082 of the family's 1831-position model. The record is from RNAcentral. Lineage: Eukaryota; Apicomplexa; Conoidasida; Eucoccidiorida; Cryptosporidiidae.
UUAUUAGAUAAAGAACCAAUAUUUUUGGUGACUCAUAAUAACUUUACGGAUCACAUUAUGUGACAUAUCAUUCAAGUUUCUGACCUAUCAGCUUUAGACGGUAGGGUAUUGGCCUACCGUGGCUAUGACGGGUAACGGGGAAUUAGGGUUCGAUUCCGGAGAGGGAGCCUGAGAAACGGCUACCACAUCUAAGGAAGGCAGCAGGCGCGCAAAUUACCCAAUCCUAAUACAGGGAGGUAGUGACAAGAAAUAACAAUACAGAACCUUACGGUUUUGUAAUUGGAAUGAGUUAAGUAUAAACCCCUUAACAAGUAUCAAUUGGAGGGCAAGUCUGGUGCCAGCAGCCGCGGUAAUUCCAGCUCCAAUAGCGUAUAUUAAAGUUGUUGCAGUUAAAAAGCUCGUAGUUAAUCUUCUGUUAAUUUUUAUAUAUAAUAUUUCGGUAUUUAUAUAAUAUUAACAUAAUUCAUAUUACUUUUUAGUAUAUGAAACUUUACUUUGAGAAAAUUAGAGUGCUUAAAGCAGGCUAUUGCCUUGAAUACUCCAGCAUGGAAUAAUAUUAAGGAUUUUUAUUCUUCUUAUUGGUUCUAGAAUAAAAAUGAUGAUUAAUAGGAACAGUUGGGGGCAUUUGUAUUUAACAGUCAGAGGUGAAAUUCUUAGAUUUGUUAAAGACAAACUACUGCGAAAGCAUUUGCCAAGGAUGUUUUCAUUAAUCAAGAACGAAAGUUAGGGGAUCGAAGACGAUCAGAUACCGUCGUAGUCUUAACCAUAAACUAUGCCAACUAGAGAUUGGAGGUUGUUCCUUACUCCUUCA